Molecule: ribosomal RNA, 477 nt
Filed under: Triticum aestivum (bread wheat)
Lineage: Eukaryota; Viridiplantae; Streptophyta; Magnoliopsida; Poales; Poaceae
Description: partial small subunit ribosomal RNA
Source: RNAcentral
CGCUCGCCGCCGCCACGUCCGCCACCGCAGGCGGCGUACGUGAAGCUCGCGCUGCACGCGCUCAAGCACCAGGCGGCGGCUGUCAACGGGCUCCUCGUCGUCCGCCUGGCGGACCCCGCCGCCUCCCCGGCCGUCGUCUCGAUCGCUGACGCCGUGCCGCUCUCCCACCAGCCGCACCACCUCCCGCUGCUCCCCACGCUCGAGCUCGCGCUCACCCUCGUCGAGGACCACUUCCAGGCGCAGGGCCUCGCCGUCGUCGGAUACUACCACGCCAACGCACGCCGCAACGACGCUGACCUCCCCGCCGUCACCAAGCGCGUCGGGGACCACAUCUUUCGCUACUUCCCCCGCGCCGCCAUGCUGCUGCUGGACAACGUGAAGCUCGAGGAGGUGGUGAAGGGGAGCAUCCGCGAUGCAGUUGUUCAGGUACUCGCCCAUGAUCUAUGGAAAUCAGUAUCCCUUCAUUGCUUUCAAAUU